AUAAGCAAAUAGGUAUUAUUGAAGAGCUAUGCUGUCAAGUGUCUAUCAACAAGAGUUCCACCCAGAUAUGAAUACCACCACAACACAACAUAUUGAUUGCAAGUGAAAGCAAUGUUAUGUCCACAUCACACAAGUAACAAAGCAAGGUUAUUUUCACGUCACAACAUAUGGAUUGCAAGUCAAGAUUUCCACCCAAAUGCAUACAAUGAGUACUACCCAUAUAACUUUAAGUCACCCUUUAAGAAUUUCAUUUUGUAAGAUCGAAAUUACAACUAUAUAUAAACGACGCUGUCCUUGAAAUUGUCAAUUUCUUAAUAUGAUUUUUGUCAAUAUUCGUGCAUAUUUAUUCCUUUGUUUUCAAAUGAAAUGAGUAAAUUCUACACUAACCAAGUUAAGAAACACAAGUUGAG
RNAcentral lists this long non-coding RNA (410 nucleotides) under Olea europaea (common olive). RNAcentral describes it as "long non-coding RNA (OEUR_LNC006827)". The record is from RNAcentral. Lineage: Eukaryota; Viridiplantae; Streptophyta; Magnoliopsida; Lamiales; Oleaceae.